RNAcentral lists this small RNA (642 nucleotides) under uncultured fungus. RNAcentral describes it as "eukaryotic LSU rRNA". The stretch from base 265 to 642 matches the Rfam family "Eukaryotic large subunit ribosomal RNA", at positions 1 to 409 of the family's 3401-position model. The record is from RNAcentral. Lineage: Eukaryota; Fungi.
UAUUAAAACACUGAAUCCUGGCGUUGUUGACAGCUAACAAGACUAAUUUGUCAAGCAAUUAUAAAAAAAUAACUUCCAACAACGGAUCUCUUGGCUCUCGUACCGAUGAAGAACGCAGCAAAUUGCGAUAUGUAUCAUGAUCUGCAAACGUGAAUCAUUAAUCUUUGAACGCACAUGGCGCGCCUUGGCGCAUGCGGGGUGGAGCAUACAUUUUCUCCUCAGGGCCUUAGAAUCAACAGUCAGAAAACAAGUUCUCGACUUUUUUGUUUCUCCCCCCCGUAAGACUACCCGCUGAACUUAAGCAUAUCAAUAAGCGGAGGAAAAGAAACCAACAGGGAUUGCCUCAGUAACGGCGAGUGAAGCGGCAAAAGCUCAUGUUUAAAAGCUUCGGCAUUGUAACGGUGGCGGAAGGGGCAUUCAAAAGUCCAUUGGAACAUGGCGCCAUUGAGGAUGACAUGCCCCGUAAGAUCAGCCCCAACCCUCCACCAAAUGAGUCGAGUUGUUUGGGAAUGCAACUCUAAGAGGUGGUAAACUCCACUCUAAGGCUAAAUAUCGACGAGAGACCGAUAGCGAACAGGUACAGUGAUGGACAAGAUGAAACAGCACUUUGCAACAGAGAGUGAAACAGUACGUGCAAUUGUU